Molecule: long non-coding RNA, 297 nt
Filed under: Elaeis guineensis (African oil palm)
Lineage: Eukaryota; Viridiplantae; Streptophyta; Magnoliopsida; Arecales; Arecaceae
Description: long non-coding RNA (EGUI_LNC039330)
Source: RNAcentral
GCUCAGCUCAUAGAGAAUAGCAUAGCACGUGCUUUGCUCGACCCAUAGAGAUUAGCACAGUCAAAUGCUUAUAUCAAUAUUGUUCAGCUCAAUACGAGUGAAGUUCUAGGUAGCUCAACUUUAGCAUAAUUGAGGCAUCAUAAUAGUCAUCUCAAUACUAUCUCCCUAUUUCUGAGUUUGAGACAAUGCUUCAGACGGAAGGAAUACUGUUGAGAUGAUUAUUCUGGCGUAUGUUGUCUUUUUUUUCCUCUAGUGCUCGAUUAGCUAUUUCUCAUGAGUGGUAUUGUGUACCUGCUG